GUGAGGAAUAUUGGUCAAUGGGCGGGAGCCUGAACCAGCCAAGUCGCGUGAAGGAAGAAGGAUCUAUGGUUCGUAAACUUCUUUUGCAGGGGAAUAAAGUGCAGGACGUGUCCUGUUUUGUAUGUACUCUGAGAAUAAGGAUCGGCUAACUCCGUGCCAGCAGCCGCGGUAAUACGGAGGAUCCGAGCGUUAUCCGGAUUUAUUGGGUUUAAAGGGUGCGUAGGUGGUUUGGUAAGUCAGCGGUGAAAGUUUGCAGCUUAACUGUAAAAAUGCCGUUGAGACUGUCGGAGUUGAGUGUAGAUGAGGUAGGCGGAAUGCGUGGUGUAGCGGUGAAAUGCAUAGAUAUCACGCAGAACUCCGAUUGCGAAGGCAGCUUACUAAGCUACAACUGACACUGAAGCACGAAAGCGUGGGGAUCAAACAGGAUUAGAAACCCCUGUAGUCC
Molecule: ribosomal RNA, 445 nt
Filed under: uncultured bacterium
Lineage: Bacteria
Description: partial 16S ribosomal RNA
Rfam family: Bacterial small subunit ribosomal RNA
Source: RNAcentral